GGGACCAGUAAUGAGAAAGUGUCAUGAACCAAGUAUUAUGAUUAACUGGUUUUUG
RNAcentral lists this small nucleolar RNA (55 nucleotides) under Vicugna pacos (alpaca). RNAcentral describes it as "Small nucleolar RNA SNORD112 (ENSVPAG00000017688.1)". The record is from RNAcentral. Lineage: Eukaryota; Metazoa; Chordata; Mammalia; Artiodactyla; Camelidae.